Molecule: long non-coding RNA, 2387 nt
Organism: Apis mellifera (honey bee)
Lineage: Eukaryota; Metazoa; Arthropoda; Insecta; Hymenoptera; Apidae
Exons: 3
Source: RefSeq, a predicted model, not a curated record
CUAAGUUAUAUCAUAUAUUAUAUCACGUGUAAAUAUCUCAACUUUCCAAGACGACAUUUUCCAAGAUGGCGGAAUAAUAUCACGUCAGUGGUGACAUCUGUAGGCACUAAUGAGACAAGACUUUAUAAUUUUGCGUAACAAUAUAAAAUUGUUUUUAAAAUAUAAUUCCUCGCGUGAAAUAAUGAAAGGUGAACCGCGACGAUUACCGAAACAGGGAAUUUCAGGCGAAUAUGAAGCGAGCGUCGUCACGAGUGGUCGGUUUUCGAAGCGAGCGAGGAACAGGCGGCCAGGUUCAUACAUAUUUGCAAUGUGCGGCCAAGAUGGACGAUAUGCAAUUGUAUGCACGAAGGCAUACGCGAACGAUAUCGCGGAGAGGAUGAGGAUAGAUGUGCAUACACAACGCGUGGGUAAAUGCUUUAUUGCGGCUUCGUGAAUAUCCUUGCACGGACGUAGAAGCGGUGUGUCUAUUGGUCGCGGGCUAUCCACACACGCGACAUGCCGCGCGUACACUCGCGCCAAAACGCGCCACGAUCGUAAAUAAAUGUGUACUGCGAACACGCCCGCGAGGUGUGGAAUUCAGCUUGUAUUUCGAUUCGUACGCCGCCGUAUACGGUAUAUAAUCGAACGUCUAUCUUUCUACAACCCUUCAAGUUGCAAAAUGUAACGACAAAAGCGAUCCAUUAUUCGUCGGAUUCGAACCUAUCCGAUUGCCCAUAACCUAUAAAUUUAUUUCAAAUUGACCGUAAUGAAGACGACUCUGAGGAUUAAUAGAAAUUCUCGAGAGAUUCUUUUCCGUGCAAAAUAACGCUCGGGAGUGAAAAAUGAGUGAGAAAAACGAGGUGUCGAGGUUAAUAUUCGAUAAUGUUUAGCAGUUUCUACGAUUGGUUAACGGCGGCGGCGAGCGUUCGUAUCGUUCGACGAAUGGAAAUUCACGAUUCGUUCGACACGGAUAACCUGUGUGGGGAACAGAUAUACGAGAACGUAACGCACGCGUACCAUGGCACAAUACGCGAGAGAGGAUCGAGAGAGAGGCUAGCGAUACAAAUGCAUCAGUUUCACGGCUCGUCGGACAAGACAACGAGAUUCAUGUCCUCCUCAUGCAUGAAUCAACAACCUUUUCCAUAUUUACAUAACAACGCUUGAUUCGCGAUGUGCACCAUGUAGCCGGGUGGGAGGCGGUUGACAGAUUGAGAGUAUGGAUAGGCUUUAUUCUCUCGAGCAGUCGUCCUUCGGAACGUCGAAUGAACACACAGAGGAGAGCCGGCCCCGAAGCUCGGGGAAAGGCCGAGGAACGAAGACGGAGAAGACGCCUCCGAGGAGGUAAAAGAGAAACGGUCGACGAAUGAAGAGAUGGAAGGGAAAGGAGGAUAUUUCUGACGCGUGAUCUGAAUAUCGAGGGUCCAUACGAUGACACGCGAGUCUACAACUCUUCGACCAAAUCUCCAUAAGAUCUAUCGCGAAACCACGAAACCAUUUAUCUCGCGAAUAUUACGAAUUUACAAAUAUUAUACCAACCUUUCCUUCUUUCCAAUUUGUUCUUAGCUUUCUCUAUCGUGAUUCAUCAUUCGAUGAUGUAACACUCCGAUUAGAAAUAAGCAAUAGAUUAAUAAAAAAGUAAAAAAUGAGGUAACGACCGAUCGCGGGAACGUUACGAAUUGUAACUAUUUCUUUUUCUCCAUUUCUCAGCCUUCUCUCGUGACCCAUGCGCCAUCUGAUGACGUAAUCCUUCAAUUAGGAAUAAACACUAGACCAAUAGGAAGACAGUUAAUCAUAGGCCGCCAUAUUAGUCGUCUCGAAUUUUUCGUACGGUGCGUUCACGUGCACGAAAGUGAUUAAUUGGACGAUAAAUUGUGUGACGAUUGAACAAUGUGAAUCUUCUUGACUCAUUUCUAAGUGAAAUCUGACGUUCUCUAUCCUCGAUAAUGCGGUUAAUCCACGAGACGGGCCACUACGUUAGAAGAAAUGCAAGACGCGAAGGAAGAAAAGCAAAGUGAAAGUGAAAACUCACGGCACACCCUGUAUACACAGAAUAUAAUGCACGGAAUGGGAAUACCAUAAUUAGAACCGGGUUAAGCGAAUGCUAACCGCUAUCCUCCUUAUCGGAGUCUCCCUCAUCGCUUGCGCGCGCGCGCGCGCGGAUAAGCUGUUCCAGGGGAUUCCCAUAAACAGUAACACCUGCCAAGCACAUAGGAAACGUUACAUGCAACCGAAGGAGAGGAGAAAAAUAUUCUUGCCGGAUUGAAUAAGGUUUAUACGCAAAGAUAUCGCUACUAUUGGACGAUCAUUAUCGGCUUUUAUGACUCAAUGAAACAUCGUGUGCGAAAUGGCCGUUCGAAAACCGGCCAUUAAUCGUUCGUUACUGCAAUGUUUGUCAAAAAAAAAAAAAA